CAAGCGCGUACUGGAGGCCGCUGAGCAGUCCGGCUUUUCUCCGGAUCCAUCCGCAAGCCGCUUGCGCCGGCAAUCGUCCGACACGAUCGCGUUCGUC
This 97-nucleotide transfer RNA is filed under the name Paraburkholderia humisilvae. Its description in RNAcentral is "tRNA-Lys". The record is from RNAcentral. Lineage: Bacteria; Pseudomonadati; Pseudomonadota; Betaproteobacteria; Burkholderiales; Burkholderiaceae.